UAAUGCUCUUUGGCCUGGAUUAAACUGCA
Molecule: non-coding RNA, 29 nt
Filed under: Mus musculus (house mouse)
Lineage: Eukaryota; Metazoa; Chordata; Mammalia; Rodentia; Muridae
Source: RNAcentral